ACCAGAGUUUUCUCCAAUGCUCAAAUUCGAAUUCCCAUCAAACGUGUUGGAAAGAGGUGUUAUUUUGCAAUUAAGGCUGUAUUAGAUUCGGCAUCGAUUGAUGAACUGAGGCAUGAAGAACCAGAUAUCAAGAAUCCAGCUUUGUCAACUUCCUAUCGAAAUUCUGAGUUUUCAAAGCCUAAUCAGACUGUUUUGGAUGCUCAAACCAAAGUUUGUACUGGCCCCACACAAACCAAGCCUCUCAAUGAGGAACAAGCCCUCAAAGUUUUGGACACCAUUUUGAGAUCAGCAAAGGGAGAGCUCAAAGAUGAAGAGCCAGUAUCAAAAGCACAACUUGGGGCAUUUUUUACUGCAAUGACAAUUCGUG
Molecule: unclassified non-coding RNA, 367 nt
Filed under: Hevea brasiliensis (rubber tree)
Lineage: Eukaryota; Viridiplantae; Streptophyta; Magnoliopsida; Malpighiales; Euphorbiaceae
Source: RNAcentral